GACGAACGCUGGCGGCGUGCCUAAUACAUGCAAGUCGAACGAGAGCAACCGGUGCUUGCACUGGUCAAUCUAGUGGCGAAGGGGUGAGUAACACGUGGGUAACCUGCCCAUCAGAGGGGGAUAACAUCCGGAAACGGAUGCUAAAACCGCAUAGGUGUUCGAACCGCAUGGUUUGAAGAGGAAAAGAGGCGCAAGCUUCUGCUGAUGGAUGGACCCGCGGUGCAUUAGCUAGUUGGUGAGGUAACGGCUCACCAAGGCCGUGAUGCAUAGCCGACCUGAGAGGGUGAUCGUCCACAUUGGUACUGAGACACUGCCCAAACUCCUACGGGAUGCAUCAGUAUCGCAUCUUCCUCAAUGGACACAAGUCUCACGCACCAACGCCCCGUGAGUGAAGAAGGUUUUCUGAUCGUAAAACUCUGUUGUUAGAGAAUAACCAGUCCUAGAGUAACUGUUACCGCCUUAACGGUAUCUAACCAGAAAGCCACGGCUAACUACGUG
This 498-nucleotide ribosomal RNA is filed under the name uncultured bacterium. Its description in RNAcentral is "partial 16S ribosomal RNA". It matches the Rfam family "Bacterial small subunit ribosomal RNA", at positions 28 to 507 of the family's 1533-position model. The record is from RNAcentral.